ACGGAAGGCAGCAGUGGGGGAUAUUGCACAAUGGGCGCAAGCCUGAUGCAGCGACGCCGCGUGAGUGAAGAAGUAUUUCGGUAUGUAAAGCUCUAUCAGCAGGGAAGAAAAUGACGGUACCUGACUAAGAAGCUCCGGCUAAAUACGUACCAGCAGCCGCGGUAAUACGUAUGGAGCAAGCGUUAUCCGGAUUUACUGGGUGUAAAGGGUGCGUAGGCGGCAUGGCAAGUCGGAUGUGAAAGACCGGGGCUCAACCCCGGGGCUGCAUUUGAAACUGCCAGGCUGGAGUACAGGAGAGGCAGGCGGAAUUCCUAGUGUAGCGGUGAAAUGCGUAGAUAUUAGGAGGAACACCAGUGGCGAAGGCGGCCUGCUGGACUGUUACUGACGCUGAGGCACGAAAGCGUGGGGAGCAAACAGGAUUAGAUACCCUGGUA
This 434-nucleotide ribosomal RNA is filed under the name uncultured Lachnospiraceae bacterium. Its description in RNAcentral is "bacterial SSU rRNA". It matches the Rfam family "Bacterial small subunit ribosomal RNA", at positions 341 to 792 of the family's 1533-position model. The record is from RNAcentral. Lineage: Bacteria; Bacillati; Bacillota; Clostridia; Lachnospirales; Lachnospiraceae.